GACGAACGCUGGCGGCGUGCUUAACACAUGCAAGUCGAACGGAAAGGCCCUGCUUGCCGGGUACUCGAGUGGCGAACGGGUGAGUAACACGUGGGUGAUCUGCCCUGCACUUCGGGAUAAGCCUGGGAAACUGGGUCUAAUACCGGAUAGGAGCCAUUUUUAGUGUGAUGGUUGGAAAGUUUUUUCGGUGUAGGAUGAGCUCGCGGCCUAUCAGCUUGUUGGUGGGGUAAUGGCCUACCAAGGCGGCGACGGGUAGCCGGCCUGAGAGGGUGGACGGCCACAUUGGGACUGAGAUACGGCCCAGACUCCUACGGGAGGCAGCAGUGGGGAAGAUUGCACAAGGGGCGCAAGCCGGAUGCAGCGACGCCGCGUGGGGGAUGACGGCCUUCGGGUUGUAAACUCCUUUCGCUAGGGACGAAGCUUUUUGUGACGGUACCUAGAUAAGAAGCACCGGCUAACUACGUG
RNAcentral lists this ribosomal RNA (465 nucleotides) under uncultured bacterium. RNAcentral describes it as "partial 16S ribosomal RNA". It matches the Rfam family "Bacterial small subunit ribosomal RNA", at positions 28 to 507 of the family's 1533-position model. The record is from RNAcentral.